Sphaeramia orbicularis (orbiculate cardinalfish) is the source of this 2062-nucleotide long non-coding RNA. RefSeq lists it as uncharacterized. The transcript is spliced from 3 exons. Lineage: Eukaryota; Metazoa; Chordata; Actinopteri; Kurtiformes; Apogonidae. The record is from RefSeq and is a predicted model, not a curated record.
UCAACUGGUGACAUGUCCAGGGUCUAUCCUGCCUUCACCCAUAAGUAGCUGGGAUAAGCUCCUCCAACCCCCGUGACCCUAAUGAGGAUGUACAGUAAGUGGGUUCGGAUAAUGAAUGGAUGUAUUACAAUUUCACUGACCUUAAAUCACGUGGAGGUAAAAUCCAAUCACUUCAUUUCACUUUUUUUUUAUCCAAUUACACAUUUGUUUGUGAAUAUAACUAUGUACAAUGUGUGCAAAGUUGUUCACAAUAUAGGUCUGUCCUGAAAUGUACCAAUAAUUAAUCACUUUUAAUUGUUUAAGACUGAGAACUAUCUUUUUGUAUUUUUUUUAAUUUAUUUUGUAUUUCCCUCUGUUUAACUUAGUGAUUAUGUAGAUCUUCAAAAAAUUCAAAGGUUACUGUAUCAAAAACAGAGUAGAGUUAAGAAAUUGUGACUUGAAUUGUAAAAUAUAUCAUUAACUGAACAAAAAAACAAGUCUGGAACUGCUCCUAUUUGUCAAACGACAUGGGUUUUAUUGGUGAAUCAAUGUUGCAGAAGAUGAUGGCAUUUCUAUGUUCUCUACUGAGCGUCUGAAUGUCCAAAAAAGACACUCCUGACACCACUGAAAAGCUGAGAAACUGCAUUUUACCUGGAUUAUUUAAAUAUGUUGAUAGGAUUAGUGGUCUAAAAUGUUGAGGGGGAAGGAGAAAAGAAACAAACAAAAGGGGAAAAUAAAGUAAAGUUUAUGAAAUAUGAUUUUAUGAAUAUGAAAUAUGAGAGUAUUCUAAGAUUUUAUUUUAUUCUCUGCAUGAAAAAUGGGGUUUUCGUCAGUUAACGUCACUGUAAAUUGCUUUGGAACUUCAAAUUAACACCUAGUGGGAAUUUAAAGUCAGCACAGAAAAUUCUCUCCAAAUGCCUAAAAUUGCCGUGAAUUCCCAACCUCUGGUUAGAGAGCCUUGGCAAUAACCCCUCCCCCAGCCCCUUGGACUAUGUGAGGUUUUCGUAUGUAAAUAGUCCUGCUGUGAGGUAUACAAAUGUAAAUCGAGUCAUACACAACACAGUUUAAGCUUUACAGUGGAGGUGAGACAACAACUCAUUGACUUGAAUACCAGGCAGACACUGCUGGAUGACCGAUGAGACUGUGGCUGUGGAUAAGAACCAAAAAACAGCUUGUGCACAAUCCAAAAAUUGCAGUAAGUACAUAUUCAAUUAAUUAUUAGAUGUGUGCAAUUUGGGUUGGAAUUUUAUCUUUGUGUGACUUUCUUAGUUAAUUGCACAGUGUAUGAGUGUGGUUUUACUUGUAGAACCGAUUAAAGUCACAUUGAUCUGCUUGAACCUGGAGGUAUUUGUUCCCCCAAAAUGACUUAUUUUUUGUCUUGUAUUCUUUUAGGAAGCUGUGCGCUGUCUGCAUAACAGUGAAUGAAACAAUAGAUGGUAUGAACCAGAGUAUGGGUAAGAUUUUAAAGAGCCUGGAUCCAUUCUGCUCUAUAGAAUUAAAUGUAUGCCUUUACUGAACUAUUUCUAUUUUUUUUCCACAGACUGAGCUCACCCCAAAAUUAAGCAGUGACUUCUCAUUUAAUGGCAGCUCUAGCUGCAAGUCCAGCCUUGAAUGGAGUAGAAAGUGGAGUCCUGUUGAUUAACGGCCUGUAAGACAUACUGAAACAGUCCGAUGGAGCUACACAUACAGCCAACCAGAUCUUGCAGCCCUGGCAGAAGCCAUGAAAAAUUCAGCCUGUAGCAGAGAAUAAAAACACAGCUGGAGGCAGAGGAGGGGUGAACUGGCCAACAAGGGGGAGACUGAUUUUUGGCAGGGUGUCACAAUAGAUAUGAUGGUUUGAUGAAGAAAAUGGCACCUAAUGGGACAUCUGGGUUGAUUGUCUGGUAUCCUUCCAGAGUCUGGAGCUCUCUAACCUUUGUGCUGCACUCCAACAGACACUACAGCAGAACUCAACAUAUGUUCCUACCCACCACAGAAGACUCUGUAUUGGGCCACCCUCAGAGAAGCUUUAAUUUAAAUUUAGAUUAAAUAAAAGCGUUGUCACUUUUAUUUAAUCUAAAAGAUUGUUUUAAUUUGAAAGUGU